UCUUUAAGCAGCUGCUGUACCUUCUGGGUCAUCCAGGGCUUCCUGUUGGGGUACACCUGGACGGUCUUGUCCACUGGGACAUUGUUUCUGCA
Melanotaenia boesemani (Boeseman's rainbowfish) is the source of this 92-nucleotide long non-coding RNA. RefSeq lists it as uncharacterized. The transcript has 3 exons. The record is from RefSeq and is a predicted model, not a curated record. NCBI's taxonomy places the organism in Eukaryota, Metazoa, Chordata, Actinopteri, Atheriniformes, Melanotaeniidae.